Molecule: non-coding RNA, 68 nt
Filed under: Halococcus saccharolyticus
Lineage: Archaea; Methanobacteriati; Methanobacteriota; Halobacteria; Halobacteriales; Halococcaceae
Also listed under: 1 other name
Description: Fluoride sequence
Rfam family: Fluoride riboswitch aptamer (crcB RNA motif)
Source: RNAcentral
ACGGUAUCGGGCGAUGGAGUCCGCCUGCCCCAACCGCUGGUUACCCAGCUGAUGACUCCUUUUCGGAG